This 360-nucleotide long non-coding RNA is filed under the name Equus asinus (donkey). RNAcentral describes it as "lncRNA (ENSEASG00005034170.1)". Lineage: Eukaryota; Metazoa; Chordata; Mammalia; Perissodactyla; Equidae. The record is from RNAcentral.
CUUUGAGCUGCUGGGUGGACGAGGGACGCGUUGUAUGAGGCACUCAGCACAGUGCCUGGUCCUCUUCAAAGUCAAGGCUCUAGGAACCAGGAGGGGUGGGCGCCAGGGGCUGCAGCCUGGGCUUCCUCCUGUUACGUCCUCCCACAUUCUAGGCUUCCUGUUACGACUGUUGCUUAGAACAGAACCGACAGGCUAAGGGGGAGCCCUUGUGUCUACCUCCUGCCUGUGGUCUUGUCAGCUGGGAAUCAUGUUCUCCACUCCACAGAUGAGAAAACCGGGACAUGGAAACUAGGUUCUUCUCUCCCAUGUGAUUUAGUUGAAGUGGACAUCUGCAUGUGUUAUAAAGUAGGAUUCAGAAAC